This 667-nucleotide long non-coding RNA is filed under the name Lepisosteus oculatus (spotted gar). RNAcentral describes it as "lncRNA (ENSLOCG00000021566.1)". The record is from RNAcentral. Lineage: Eukaryota; Metazoa; Chordata; Actinopteri; Semionotiformes; Lepisosteidae.
AUGAGCCCAUAUCUGCCAUUUUUUACAACUUCAACCCUGACCAUUGCUCCCAGCGCAACAUCGGAUGCAGGGCCGUACCACCACGCUGCCAGCAUGAUAUCGCUCACAGAGCCACGCACGGGUCGUACCGUACCUCCUCAGACGGGUGCUGUCUCAUUUACCACGUCAAGACAACAACCAACUUUGCGCACUUCCUGCUACUGUAGUCUCACACUCUCCCGGACUCUUCAGGACUUCCCUGCCGCACACGCACGAAACUUGGGGGGUAGACGGCCAACUUCGAGCUACUCAACUACCGCCCUGCCCCCCCCAGUCGGCUGGAGCUGUUCUGCCCGUGGGACUCGGAUCCCCGGUCACCGGCUCAGGGCUCAGUCCGCUGACGGGUGGCCGGAGCCGGGCGACUGCGGGGCUGCACUCGCCUCUGCGGCUGUUUCUCUCCAUUCCCCCGCCCCCUUCCCCACCUCACCUCAGACGCCAUCUGUUUGUGGCAUGAGGGAAUGUGGAAGUGAAAGAAAGAAAGAAAAGAGAGGGAGAGAGACGGACAUGUUGGCCGGAGGAAAAGUUCAAGAUGCCGUGUGGUCCACGUAAUCCGGGGACACUCCUGUCCUGGGCCGGUUACCUUUCCCACCCCAAGAGCACCCCAAGAUACAUGGGGUCACAUUGCCGC